This 478-nucleotide ribosomal RNA is filed under the name uncultured bacterium. RNAcentral's name for it is "partial 16S ribosomal RNA". It matches the Rfam family "Bacterial small subunit ribosomal RNA", at positions 28 to 523 of the family's 1533-position model. The record is from RNAcentral.
GACGAACGCUGGCGGCGUGCUUAACACAUGCAAGUCGAACGGUAAGGCCCUUCGGGGUACACGAGUGGCGAACGGGUGAGUAACACGUGGGUGAUCUGCCCUGCACUUCGGGAUAAGCCUGGGAAACUGGGUCUAAUACCGGAUAGGACCACUGCCUGCAUGGGUGGUGGUGGAAAGCUUUUGCGGUGUGGGAUGGGCCCGCGGCCUAUCAGCUUGUUGGUGGGGUGAUGGCCUACCAAGGCGACGACGGGUAGCCGGCCUGAGAGGGUGGCCGGCGACACUGGGACUGCGAUACGGCCCAGACGCCGACGGUGGGCAGCAGUGGGGACUAUUGCGCAAUGGGCGCACGCCUGAUGCAGCGACGCCGCGUGAGGGAUGACUGCCUUCGGGUUGUAAACCUCUUUCAGCACCGACGAAGCGCAAGUGACGGUAGGUGCAGAAGAAGGACCGGCCAACUAGGUACCAUCCGCCGCGGUAA